RNAcentral lists this ribosomal RNA (402 nucleotides) under uncultured bacterium. RNAcentral's name for it is "partial 16S ribosomal RNA". It matches the Rfam family "Bacterial small subunit ribosomal RNA", at positions 338 to 732 of the family's 1533-position model. The record is from RNAcentral.
CCUACGGGGGGCUGCAGUGGGGAAUUUUGCGCAAUGCUCGCAAGAGUGACGCAGCGACGCCGCGUGAAUGACGAAGGCCUUCGGGUUGUAAAGUUCUUUCGACAGGGAAGAAAAUGCCUAUAUGUAACUGUGUAUGUAUUGACGGUACCUGUAUAAGCAGCCCCGGCUAACUCCGUGCGAGCAGCCGCGGUAAUACGGAGGGGGCGAGCGUUUUUCGGAGUGACUGGGCGUAAAGAGCACGUAGGCGGUGUUGUAAGUCAUUAGUCAAAGACUCGAGCUCAACCUUAGUAAGGCAAGUGAUACUGUAAUACUAGAGUAUGAGAGAGGAUGGCAGAAUUCCUGGUGUAGCGGUGAAAUGCGUAGAGAUCAGGAGGAAUACCGUUAGCGAAGGCGGCAAGCUGG